Pangasianodon hypophthalmus (striped catfish) is the source of this 809-nucleotide long non-coding RNA. RefSeq lists it as uncharacterized. Lineage: Eukaryota; Metazoa; Chordata; Actinopteri; Siluriformes; Pangasiidae. The transcript is spliced from 2 exons. The record is from RefSeq and is a predicted model, not a curated record.
CACUUUGGCUCUUCGCCAGCGCUAUAAAACCAAUUAUAGAGCAAGGAGGUUGAACUGUUUCAAGCCCCCUCUCCUUCCUUUCUUGAAUGAUCAAAACAGGCAGAGAAUUUGUGGAGGGCAGUUUCAAGGCCGCUCCUGAUUAAAACAGACGGAUACAGACUUGAUUAUUGCUUUAUCUCCCCAGAUUACGAGACUUUAGACCAAACUUCUUUUAAUCGACGCUUUUUUUUAAUAGAGACACAGCCUUACGAGUGGAUUUAUAUAUGUUUUAGCCUAUAUUCAGGAAUUAAAACUUGUAUUUUUUCGAGCGCUGAGGGUCGGGCGAGCAUCCUGUGUUUCUCGACUCACUUUUAAGCACUUUUCAAGCACAGAUGCCCUUUGGAUUGUUGUUGUUUUUCACUCGGAGGGAGGCUCAGUGUGAGCUGACUCACUGUGGGAAUGUCUCCAUGAAACUAACCGGCUAUUCCUGAAGCUUCACGGCUGCCUGGAUAAGUUAUUAAUGACCGACGAAACGGCGAUAAAUAGCCUCUGCCUCCACUUUUGUUCACGUUAGCUACUGCUGGCUUUAACCCAAGAAGACGUACAACGACAUGUCUGUGUCUGUCCCUCUCUUUUCUCUCCUUUUUUGGGGCUGUUGUUCAGCAGUAAGUCAGAGACUCCUUUGUUCUUGGUGCUGAGGCGCGCGCGACUUGUUGUUGUUUUUGUUUUGUUUUUGGACGCGUUUAAUUGUUCGCUCGUGACAAUCACUGCCUGCUCUUGUUAAGGUGGGUGCUGAAAUGCAUUUCAUGCAAAUAAACAUGAUCAGCAUA